UGGGGAAUAUUGCACAAUGGGCGCAAGCCUGAUGCAGCCAUGCCGCGUGUGUGAAGAAGGCCUUCGGGUUGUAAAGCACUUUCAGCGAGGAGGAAGGUGGUGAGCUUAAUACGCUCAUCAAUUGACGUUACUCGCAGAAGAAGCACCGGCUAACUCCGUGCCAGCAGCCGCGGUAAUACGGAGGGUGCAAGCGUUAAUCGGAAUUACUGGGCGUAAAGCGCACGCAGGCGGUUUGUUAAGUCAGAUGUGAAAUCCCCGGGCUCAACCUGGGAACUGCAUUUGAAACUGGCAAGCUAGAGUCUCGUAGAGGGGGUAGAAUUCCAGGUGUAGCGGUGAAAUGCGUAGAGAUCUGGAGGAAUACCGGUGGCGAAGGCGGCCCCCUGGACGAAGACUGACGCUCAGGUGCGAAAGGCGUGGGGCAGCAAACAGGAUUAGAUACCCUGGUAGUCCACGCUGUAAACGAUGUCGAUUUU
This 473-nucleotide ribosomal RNA is filed under the name uncultured bacterium. RNAcentral's name for it is "partial 16S ribosomal RNA". It matches the Rfam family "Bacterial small subunit ribosomal RNA", at positions 355 to 819 of the family's 1533-position model. The record is from RNAcentral.